Molecule: long non-coding RNA, 6878 nt
Filed under: Triticum aestivum (bread wheat)
Lineage: Eukaryota; Viridiplantae; Streptophyta; Magnoliopsida; Poales; Poaceae
Description: long non-coding RNA (TAES_LNC002970)
Source: RNAcentral
UGGACAGUAAGAUAGAAAGUUCCCUAAAGGUAGAGUCAGUCGUUGAAUUGUGGAGAUCUUUAUGUCAGUCCAUGGUCAAUAAAACAAUGCAGAAAAUCAAAUGUUUUAUAAGCUAACUCCAUAUAUAGAUUAUCUGCAAAAGGUAACCAUGUAAAAUUUGUUAUUCAAAGAUGGCAUGCAACAACGACUUUUGACCAAUGAGAUUUCAGUCUUCUUUGUUCUUGUUUAGCGGUUCUACUCUUCAUUUUCCGAAAAAAUGAAGGACUGGCCUCCUAGCAUCCCCACCUUCGGAUGCACACGUCCAUGCCUUAAUUGCUGCAAAACAUGAAGACAUAAUUAAUAGGUUGAAAAAACAUGAGAUCAACAUAUGAUCUCAUGACAACCGACAUCUCGAAAUGCUACCACAAACCUAUCAGUAGAAAAAAAACACUGACGGAACUCCGAAGCCUAACAAAGGUAGCACUAAAGGACAACAACUUAAAUAAGUAAUCGUGUUUGUACGCCGAUGUAAACAGCCGUUGGUGUUCCACUAGCUAGACAUUUCACCUAGCCUUCACUAUCUUGCUUAAAUCACAACAAAAAUGACCAUCAAUAGAGAUUUGACAUGAAUAUCAAUAGAAACCAAUAACUAGACAAUAAACAAUUUGACAUAUAUCUUUGCUGGAUCUCUCAAUUCUGAUAGCAAUUAAAAAAAGAAUGUGUUCAUCUAAUUGGUCAGAUUAAGCCAAAUCUUAAACUAAAAAAAUCAAUACAAUUUCUGAAAUGUAGUGCAGUAUUGGUGAUAGUGCAAAAUGGUCUUCAGACCAAACAUAACCGAUGCAUGUAACACUCCAUAAAAGAAAGGUAAAACCUUAUAAUCAAUGUAUGAUGUGAUUUGUUUUCCUUGAGAAAUCAUGUACUGUCCUGCUGCGAAAAAACUCCAACAUGUGAGUAGCAGACACUUCAUCCUAAGCAGUUCCUUGAUAUCAGAAUUUAAUUUAUGGUUACAACCAAUAAGAAGAGAUGGUUUCAUAAUUAAAAGAACCUGAACUAAUUCUAGUUUUACAGUAUAGCAGCUGAUUGACCAAAAGUUUGUUAGUUAUUCCUAGGAAUAUCUAUGUCAGAACACCUAGAGUCCACUGCCUAGAAGCAAGAAAUCGGGACUGGAGUGAGCAAGGGGAGAAGAAUGAACUUGUGCAGAGAAAAGGUAAAGGUGGUGCAUAUCUUGCCAUGGGAAGGACAUAGUAGCACAAAAGAAAUGAGGAUGAUCCUGUUAGGACAACUGUUUUUGCUGUAGGAAUCUACGGCGUGAAAUAGCUGGCCUGAAGCAUUUUCAGGGAAAAAAUUAAAUUCAAAGGAAUUUAACAAGCAAUCACGAGGUCAUGGAAGUUAUUAUGACUAAUGUUAUGACCGGCGUCACUUAUAGCCGGAGAAGGCCCAAUGGGCGCGUCUAGUUAGUGGCUUAGCCCAACUUAUCUUAUUUUUAUUAGCAGCAAGGAUUAUAUAAACAGUUGUAAGGCCACCUUUUGAACUUAAGCAAUAAGUCAUAACUAACCCGGCUCCCCUUAGGAGCCGGAACCCUAAACCCUAGCCGCCUCUCUCUCACCGCCGCCUCCUCCUCACGCAAACACGACGCCGUCGCGCUGCCGGCCGCGCUCAACCUCUCGCCAUCCACCUUCCACCCCUACAACCUACGGUCUAGGCCUGGUAGAACCCUAGUUCCUAGCAAUCUGGUAUCAGGUAGCUCUGAUUCGAUCAUGUUCGUGCCGCAGCCCACCCCGUCCCUCCCGCUGCCGACCACGUCGUCGUCUCCGCUGACCACCACGGCCGCCGCCCCGCUUCUUCCCGCGCCGGUCUCCUCCGGCGCGCCUGCCCCCGCCGUCCUCACACCGGAGGAGGUGUCCGGGGCGUUGCGGGAUCUCGCCUAGGCGGUCCAGGGCAUCCGGCUGUACCUGGACGAGCCCUACGGGCCGCAACCAGCCGCGGCGCCCGUCGCCACCACCGGGCCGUCGUGACUGCCGUGGCAGUCGUCGCCCCUGGCGGCGGAGGCCGCCGCGUUCGCCGGGCCGCUGCAGCUGCCGCCGCCACCACCUGCCAGCUCCGGGCUGGCCCUUACCGCGGAGGCGGGGGUUCCAUUCCAGCAAGUCAGCCCCCCCCCCCACCGUCACUGUUACCGGCCUGGUUGGCCGGGUCUUUGCAGCCGGUCUACACGAUGGCUUCGGGGCCACCUCACGUCCAGUCGCCGCCGGCGCCACUUCUGCAGUACGGCGGGCCCUCCAGCUUUGUUGGCCCUUCCGCCGGCCUCGACGGUCCUCCGUUCCACGGGGGGGCCUCCAUGGCCACCGACUCGGUGCCGCCCCCCUCGCUGCUCCGCGCUGACGAGGCGUUCCCAACGGCGGCCAUAACCACACGCCGCCGCGCUUCGCCAAGCUCGACUUCGCCACCUACGACGGCACCGAGGACCCUCUGAGAUGGCUUAAUCAAUGUGACCAGUUUUUUCGGGGGCAACGCACGCUCGCGUCGGACCGCACCUGGCUCGCGUCGUAUCACCUCCGAGGCACCGCACAAACUUGGUAUUAUGCUCUCGAGUAGGAUGAGGGCGGCAUACCCCCAUGGGAGCGUUUUUGCAAGCUCUGCCUCUUAUGCUUCGGGCCGCCGAUGCGCGGAGCCAACUGGCGGAGCUUGGCCGCCUACCCUUCACCUCCACGGUGCAGGACUGCGCCAACCGCUUCCAGGCCCUGGCGUGCCACGCGCCCGGCGUGACGGCUCGCCAGCGGGCCGAGCUCUUCGUGGGCGGUCUGCCGGAUCAUAUCCGUGUGGAUGUGGAGCUGCGAGGACCUGAGGACCUCCAGACGGACAUGUAUUAUGCCCGCGCCUUCGAGCGUCGCGCGCAGGCCUUGCAGCAGGCGUCGGCGGCUCGGGGCGCCCUACAGCUAGCCAGGCCGCCCCCGACACCACCAGUGUCGAGGCGUCCGCCUCCGUCCUCUACAACGACAAACGCUCCGGCCGCAACAAGACCCUUCUGCCAAGCUCACCCCGGCCGAGCAGCUCGAGUGUCGUCGCCAGGGGCUAUGCUAUAACUACGACGAGCCCUACGUGUCGGGCCACGUCUGCCCGCAGCUCUUCUACUUGGAGGCGGCCGACUACAUUGAGGAGGACACCGUCACCGACGGGCUCGGCGACUUGCCCGCCCCAGCUGCUGCGGAGGUCGCACCGGUGCCCGCUCCGGCGACGGCUCUCGUGGUCACCCUCCAUGCCCUCGCGGGUAUACGAGCGGAGCAGACUAUGAUCCUGCCGGUGAUGAUCAACGGCGAGCGCCUCAUGGCCCUCCUGGAUACGGGCUACACCUAUAACUUCCUGCCCGAGUUGACCAUGCGCCGCUUGGCACGAGCAGGGAGCAGCUCCGAGUCACUGUGGCUAACGGCGACCGCCUUCGAUGUCAUGGGAUUGCACGGAACGUCCCCAUCACCAUCGGCGACGGGCACUUCACCAUCACGUGCGCCGGCAUCGACUUGGGCUGCUUCGACUUCAUCCUCGGCGUCGACUUCUUGCGGACCCUGGGUCCCAUCCUCUGGGACUUCGACGCCAUGACGAUGAUCUUCUGGCGCCUGGGUCACCGCGUCCGGUGGGAGGGCGUGGGUGGCGCCUCACCAGCGGCGCUGCAUCUGCAGCUGACGGCUACUACUGCAGGGCCCGAGCAUCCCCUGUUGGAUCAGCUCUUGCAGCAGCACCGCGACCUCUUCGACGAGCCCCAGGGCCUUCCGCCAGCUCGGGCGUACAACCACCGCAUUCAUCUACUGCUGGGCACAGCCCCUAUGGCGGUCCGCCCUUACCGCUACCCUCAAUUGCAGAAGGACGAGAUGGAGCGGCAGUGCGCGGUCAUGCUCACCUUGGGCAUCAUCCGGAUCUCUACCUCGUCGUUUUCGGCGCCGGUCCGCCUUGCGGACGACAUGUGGCGUUUCUGCAUGACUACCGUGCUCUUAACGCCCAGACGCUCAAGGAAAAAUUUCCCAUUCCGGUCGUCGACGAGCUUCUGGACGAGCUACAUGGGGCACGCUUCUUCACCAAGCUCGACCUCCGUUCAGGCUACCACCAAGUGCGGAUGCACCCAGACGAUGUCGCGAAGACGGCGUUUCGGACUCAUCACAGCCACUUCAAGUUCUUGGUAAUGCCUUUUGGUCUCUCCAACGCCCCGGCGACCUUUCAAGCCUUGAUGAACGAUGUUCUCCGUCCCUACUUGCGCUGGUUUGUGCUUGUUUUCUUUGAUGACAUUCUUAUCUACAGUGACUCGUGGGCGGAGCACCUUCAGCACGUCGCCAUCAUCUUUAACGAGCUUCGAGCGCACCAUCUUCACCUCAAGCGCUCGAAGUGCUCGUUCGACACGCCUUCGGUCGCCUACCUCGGCCACGUAAUCUCGGUCGAGGGUGUCGCUAUGGAUGCUGACAAGGUGGCGGCUUUCAUGGCCUGACCGAUGCCGCACUCGCCGCGGGCCCUACAAGGCUUCCUGGGCCUCGCGGGGUACUACCGAAAAUUUAUCCGAGAGUUUGGCGUCAUCGCAUCCCCGCUCACACGCCUGUUGCGCCGCGACGCCUUCGCCUGGGAGGUUGGGAUGUUGAUGCGACCGAGGCGUUUGAGGGCCUCAAGCGGGCCCUCACUACGGGUCCAGUCCUCCAGAUGCCCGACUUCGACAAGCCGUUCAUAUUGGACUGCGAUGCCUCGGGCAUGGGGUUUGGCGCCGUCCUUCAUCAGGGCGACGGGCCGCUUGUGUUCUUCAGCAGGCCCUUCGCCGCGCGCCAUCAUAAGCUCGCGGCCUAUGAGAGGGAGCUCAUUGGCUUGUGCAGGCCGUGCACCACUAGCGGUCGUAUCUCUGGGGGAGGCCGUUCCGUAUCCACACGGAUCAUUACAGCCUCAAGUUCUUAUUGGACCAGAGGCUUUCCACCGUGUCGCGGCAUCAGUGGAUCAGCAAGCUCUUUGGCUUCGACUUCACCGUCGAGUAUCGUCCGGGCCGCCUCAACACCGUGGCCGACGCACUAUCCCGCCGCGACGCCGACCACGACUCGGACGUCGUCGACUCCGUGGGGGCGGCCCUCUGCAUUCGCUCGGGGCCCUCCUUCGCCCUCAUUGACGACAUUCGCAGGGCCACCGCGGAUGCUCCGGACGCUCAGCUCCUUCGGCAGCACCUCGACGCUGGCAACCUGGAGGAGCCGUGGCGCUUGGCGGAUGGCUUGCUCCUGCAUAGGCGCCGACUCUUCAUGCCGGAUCACGGCGACCUCCAUUACCAGGUACUGCUGCUGGCACACUCAGUCGGCCACGAGGGCGUGCAGAAGACCCUCCACCGUCUCCGCGAUGAUUUCUACAUCCCCAGCGACCGGGCCCUAGUACGAGGUUGGGUGCAGUCUUGCCUGACAUGCCAGCGCAACAAGACGGAGACGCUGCGACCGGCCGGGCUGCUCCAGCCCCUGGAGGUUCCCUCUCAGGUAUGGGCCGACAUAUCCAUGGAUUUCAUCGAGGGCCUUCCCAAGGUGGGCGGCAAGUCCGUCAUCCUUACGGUGGUCGAUCGUUUCUCCAAGUACGCGCACUUCAUCGCGCUCGGCCAUCCCUACACUGCCGCAUCCGCGGCGCGUGCCUUCUUAGACGGCAUCGUCCGCCUCCACGGGUUCCCCUCAUCGAUCGUCAACGACCGGGACCCUGUGUUCAUGGGGCAUGUCUGGUGCGAUCUCUUCCAGAUGGCGGGCGUGAAGCUGCGCCUGAGUACAACCUUCCGUCCUCAGACAGAUGGCCAAUCUGAGGUGGUCAACAAGGUGAUUGCAUGUAUUUGUGUUGUGUUGUGAUCGUCCCCGUGCUUGGGUGGACCGGCUCGCAUGGGCUUAUCCUGUUCCAGGCACACAACUUUGCCGUGCUGGGUAACAAGCUUGUGAACCAUGAUAGUACGAUUGUUUUUUGGGGGGUAUGAGCUGUUUUUUUUAUUAUGGCAUGUACCGAUGGGAUUUGCGUGUAUAAACACCUUGUAUGUUGGUCAAUUAGGCCCCCAUUCAAUGCAAAGUGUUAUUUACCAAUGUCUUGCCAUUUGCAAGUUUUCGCUGGGAACUUUGUUUGCUCUAACUUCCCAUAUGCCCAUGGCCCACCUAUGAUCUUGUGUAUACAUUAUGAAUUUGGUUUUCUUUCAAGUUCCAUGGCCGCAAUACUACUUUGCGUUUACUAGAGCACCCAUGACUCGAGCAUAACUGCAACACAUUUACUAGAACACCAACUAUCAUGUUCUCAGCCCCAAUUCCAUCCACAACUUGUAGAACAAAAAUGACAUUAACAUUUUUCUAAAAUGGCACACCUUCAAAGAUCACAUCUCAGGCUUAGUCGAGUGCAAUUCUAGGGAUCAACAUUUUCAAAAUUAUCAGGCAACUAAGCAAAAUCGUAUUUUUAUAGCUGGACAGUAAGAUAGAAAGUUCCCUAAAGGUAGAGUCAGUCGUUGAAUCGUGGAGAUCUUUAUGUCAGUCCAAGGUCAAUAAAACAAUGCAGAAAAUCAAAUGUUUUAUAAGCUAACUCCAUAUAUAGAUUAUCUGCAAAAGGUAACCUUCAUGUAAAAUUUGUUAUUCAAUGAGAUGGCAUGCAACAACGACUUUUGACCUUUGAGAUUUCAGUCUUCUUUGUUCUUGUUUAGCGGUUCUACUCUUCUUUUUCCAAAAAAUGAAGGACUGGCCUCAUAGCAUCCCCAUCUUCGGAUGCACACGUCCAUGCCUUAAUUGCUGCAAAACAUGAAGACAUAAUUAAUAGGUUGAAAAAACACGAGACCAACAUAUGAUCUCAUGACAACCGACAUCUCGAAAUGCUACCACAAACCUAUCAGUAGAAAAACCCCACUGGCGGAACUCCGAAGCCUAACAAAGGUAGCACUAAAGGAC